AUGAGCAUUGAGCUCCUGUGCUGUGCGGCCUUUUCUCUCCUGUGGGCAGGUCCAGUGAAUGCUGGUGUCACUCAGACCCCAAAAUUCCAGGUCCUGAAGACAGGACAGAGCAUGACAGUGCAGUGUGCCCAGGAUAUGAGCCAUAACUCCAGUUACUGGUAUCCACAAGACCCAGGCAUGGGUCUGAGGCUGAUUCGUUACUCAGCUGCUGCUGGUGUCACUGACAAAGGAGAAGCCCCCAGUGGCUACAAUGUCUCCAGAUUAAACACAGAGGAUUUCCCGCUCAGGCUGGAGUCGGCUGCUCCCUCCCAGAUAUCUGUGUAGUUCUGUGCCAGCAGUUACUCCACAGCGCUGCAAGGCCGUCUCCUCUCUGCACAUAAAAGUAGGGCGGCUCUGCCCUC
Macaca mulatta (Rhesus monkey) is the source of this 401-nucleotide non-coding RNA. The record is from the annotation of a RefSeq genome assembly. NCBI's taxonomy places the organism in Eukaryota, Metazoa, Chordata, Mammalia, Primates, Cercopithecidae.